CUGUUCCCGGAUGUGGGAGGGAGUGAAAAGGGAAUCGGGUGUAAGUCCCGGACAGACCCGCUGCUGUGUAGCUCCGUUUUCGUUCCGAACAUCUCGGCCACUGGUCCCUAAGGAUCGGGAAGGCUUCGGAACGGGAGUCAGUCAGAAGACCUGCCAGAUCGAU
Molecule: non-coding RNA, 163 nt
Filed under: uncultured Alistipes sp.
Lineage: Bacteria; Pseudomonadati; Bacteroidota; Bacteroidia; Bacteroidales; Rikenellaceae
Source: RNAcentral